UACGGGGGGGGCAAGCGUUGUUCGGAAUUACUGGGCGUAAAGGGCUCGUAGGCGGCCAACUAAGUCAGACGUGAAAUCCCCAGGCUCAACCUGGGAAUUGCGUCUGAUACUGGAUGGCUUGAAUCCGGGAGAGGGAUGCAGAAUUCCCGGUGUAGCGGUGAAAUGCGUAGAGACUGGGAAGAACACCAGUGGCGAAGGCGGCUACCUGGACAGGUACUGACGCUGAAGCGCGAAAGCUAGGGGAGCAAACAGG
RNAcentral lists this ribosomal RNA (253 nucleotides) under uncultured bacterium. RNAcentral's name for it is "partial 16S ribosomal RNA". It matches the Rfam family "Bacterial small subunit ribosomal RNA", at positions 524 to 776 of the family's 1533-position model. The record is from RNAcentral.